AGCGGUUGUUCGGAAUUAUUGGGCGUAAAGCGCGUGUAGGCGGUUUGUUAAGUCUGAUGUGAAAGCCCUGGGGCUCAACCCAGGAAGUGCAUUGGAUACUGGCAGACUUGAAUACGGGAGAGGGCAGUGGAAUUCCUGGUGUAGGAGUGAAAUCCGUAGAUAUCAGGAGGAACACCGGUGGCGAAGGCGGCUGCCUGGACCGAUAUUGACGCUGAGACGCGAAAGCGUGGGUAGC
RNAcentral lists this ribosomal RNA (235 nucleotides) under uncultured bacterium. RNAcentral's name for it is "partial 16S ribosomal RNA". It matches the Rfam family "Bacterial small subunit ribosomal RNA", at positions 536 to 769 of the family's 1533-position model. The record is from RNAcentral.